This 365-nucleotide transfer RNA is filed under the name uncultured Microcystis sp. Its description in RNAcentral is "partial 16S-23S ribosomal RNA intergenic spacer". The stretch from base 136 to 209 matches the Rfam family "tRNA". The record is from RNAcentral. Lineage: Bacteria; Bacillati; Cyanobacteriota; Cyanophyceae; Chroococcales; Microcystaceae.
AAAGGGAGACCUAAUUCAGGUAGGAGACGAAAAAAAAGUAGUCGCUACCAAGAAUCAAUCCCAAAAGGUCGGAGCGAGGCGAAAUUGGCUUUCAAACUAGGUUCUGGGUUCACACAAGACCUGAAUCAGGAACAAGGGCUAUUAGCUCAGAUGGUUAGAGCGCACCCCUGAUAAGGGUGAGGUCCCUGGUUCGAGUCCAGGAUGGCCCACCUGUACAGGUGGCAAAAAGAAAGAAAAGAAGCGAGGAAUCAGCACCUUAUCUUAUUUAUAUAGUAAGAGAGAAUGCUGGCUCUGAGUAAAGAGUCCAGAGGAACCUUGAAAACUGCAUAGAGCUAGGUGAAAAAGCCAAAAAAGAAGACCGCAAG